AAAAAACGAAGCGCACCGAAGCACCGAGGCGGCCAUCAACGGCGCCAUCUUGGAUCACAUAUCAAUAUUACCCAUUCUAUUAUUUUUCUUUGUAUUUGCUGUAAUGUUAUGGCGUUGUUUUCUAGGACCAUGUUUAUGAUUUCAGUUUCCUGUUCAGGAGACAGAACACGUUCCCGACCACCUUGUGUUGGUAAUCUUUCAGUUCAGCCCAACAAAUAGUAAAAUACUGUAAAUACAAAGUAGGUAUACCAUUUAAACCGCUACACUGGUAUAAGAUUUUCCUUACAGUAUAAAUGGUGUUAAACCGUAACAACUCACGUUGCUCUUCGGAAGGUGGCAGAAUUUAUUUUUACACGUCAUCCCAGGGUGUGUAGCGAUUGAGUCGUGGUUAUAACCUUAUAACAACAAUGAAUAACCCACAACAAACACUCUUUGAACUUUUUUUUUUCAAAUUUAUGUUUUCACACCACCGUUUCCCCUCAAGAGUUUAUAGUAUGAGUAUUUUCAUCUUGAAUCCAUCAACCAGGUUUUUAAGCAAAUCAAUGUUAAUGAGGCCACAGGUCCAGAUGGUGUAUAUGCUUAUUUAUGUGCAGGAAAGUUUUUUGUAACAGUAGACACUGUGGGCCUCAAUGCUUUUGUGCCCACUUCAGGCCUGUAUGUUUUGCAACGUGUGCGCCACGGCGAGGUAUCUACAAAAAUGGGGAAAGUGGGAGUUUCCUAUAAAGAGAUGAGAGGGGAUGCGUAAAGUGCGCCUCAUUGUGUUUUGCAUCUCCGACCCAGCGUUCACAUUCCAUUCCAGCAGUUGUUAAACUCCUCGCUACAUUACAACCAUCAGCAUCAGUAUCAUUUCAAACAGUCAUAGCAUCAGUUGUAUGCUGCAGCGUAAACUGAAGUGUCACAGCGCGCAUUGACCAUGGAGCUGAAAACGCUACGUUCGCAAAUGUACGUACUAUGAGGGCCUGAAUGUUUCCAAGACGAAUUUCCUUCGGGACAAUAAAAUCUAUUGGUGCCAAACCAACCUUUUUUAAAAGCAAAAUAAUACAUUUUUGUGUCUAAAUCCUACUUUUUUAUCUCUCUAAACAUUGCCGUUACUGAAGGAAAGAAGAAAAACAUUGGUGUGAUUCAAAACUCUUGUAUUGGUAAUAGUUGCAUCUGUGUACUGUGUGUGUGUGUUAGUCCAAUUAGUAUGAUGCAAUAUCCCAAACACACGGCUGAUGUAAGGACACUGUAAUGAGGGUCAUUAGUGGGCCAUCCCCCAUGGGAGUGGCCUGACUGCAGCCAGUCCCUAAACAGCUAAUUAUGACCCAGUAGUCCCAGUAUGAAGGCCUCUGGGGAAACUAAGUUUUCUGAAACAACAGGAUGAUGAGGUCAGUGUUUUCAGUAUUAACUUUUGGUAUCAGCUAACAAAGUUGUGUUAGUGCCUAAACCAAAACACAAAUACAAAUUUAUUACACAAAAUUACACAAAUUUUCCACAAAUGUUUUAGAUUUUUAUUUUAGCUUCUUACCUUCAAUGAAGCCACCCAUCCCAUUUUAUCCCUGACGUUCGCACUCAUUGAUUAUCAACCUAACGUGGUUUUAUGUUUGUAUGAGUUUUUAUUCCUCUCCCGUUUUUAUUGAUUUUCUACAAAUACAUUAUUCAACUGAGAUUGAGAGAUUCUUGCUUUUAGUUUUCUUUCUAUCGUUUCGACACAGUUAGCAGAUGUCAAACAGGUCAUGGAGCUGAUUGAGAGACUUUAAAACACAGAGACGCUGCUGCCAUUCGCGUCGUAGUUGCUCUCCACGCUCUCACUAUAAAGUCAAAAAGAAAUACAUAAACAUUUCAAUUUUGUUUUGUUUACCUUGACCGCUGCUACCGUUGGGUCUGAUGGCGGUGGGCCCUGCCUUGGUUUCACAUCUGGUUGGGUUGAUCCGGGCCCGUCUGCCACAGCUCGUCUCUGAGAGGGGGAGAGGGGUUAACUUCAGGGCGCCGUUGGCCUUGUUCUUUGCCCUCCUCUUCGUCACUGACUCCAGACUGUCCAAUUCCAGCCUAGCCACACAGCUGGCCUUCCUCACCGGCCCACAGCGAAGAGUGGUGGCUGCUUCUGACCAGGGAAAGACCACCACGGGCUUGUUGCACACAAUACAAUACAAAGAGUCUCCAUUAGACAAAUCCGCUUUGUUCCUUCCUGAAGGGGUUCACCACACAUCCAGGUGUGUAUCGCCCACGCAUGAGCUCCUGCAGAACUUGUACUCGGUGCUCGGUUCUAAAACACACCUUCCUCUCAGGCCCUCCUAUCAUCUCACGACAGUGUAGCCCAGUCAGACUAUGGACCGUUUCUAGCGCCUCUGCCUGAUAAGAUGCCCGAGGGUGAGGAGGCCAUGAGGAUCUUUUGUCUGGUGAAAAACAACCAGCCACUGGUCAGACAUUCCAAGAUGUUUUACUUAACUAAAAGUAGUAAAUGUAACAAGUACAAAGUCCUGCAUCAAAACUCUUUCUCAAGUACAAAUGUACUAUUAUUAUGUGAACACAUAUAGAGGGUUCGUUGUACCAAGUUGAAUAUUACUGCCAUGGUUUGUGGGAACCACACUAAGACCAUAAGGACGGAUUUAAGUAGAGGUGUGGAUUUGAAACUGCCUCACAGAUAAUUAAUACGAUUUCAAGUUGUGAGAAGGGGUCUUUCAUUGUCUUCUGUUCACAAAGAACAGAGGAAGUGUAGGAGACGUAGUACGAGGGAUUCGCGGCGGUUGGAGCAGCCUCCAUCGCCUCACAUUGGACCGCCUCGUCCCCGGAAGGGGGGCUUGGUCGGGAGAGGAGCUUAGGGCGACUGAAAGCGAAGCCAGGCCCUUCUCCAGGGGUGGAAAGUUCCGUCCUUUUCUCCCCCGCUACGAGUCGACGGGAAGCUGCUGUUUGCGUCCACAAACCACAGAGCUUUGGAAGAAAGGUCUCCACCAAUCAGCUCCUUCUGUCUUUAGCCAAACCUCCUGCACUGGUAAGAGGAGGAGACCUGUCAAUCAAUGCAAUCAUCAAGCAUCCAUUCUUUUUUGGAUCUGUCUUUUAAGACGACCAAUCGCCAUAUUGUGAAUAUAGCAGACGGCGUAUUUAUCAGGAAUCACAGUAAUAUCACCAAAUAACGACUGAAUACAUCUGAUGAUGCUUGAUAAAUACAGGCUGAAUGUUAAUACCACACAUUAUCCUUCAUCUGUUUCUGCAUUUGCAAAGACCAUCUUUGGUUCAUUCAGAAAAGGUUGAAAGGUGACAAGUUCAUCAUUCAUUGAGCAUCUUUCAACUUACAAACAUGCUUAUGAUCAUCAAUCGUCAUCUGAUCACCAUCCACCUUUUUCUUCUGACCCUCUUUCGGCUCCUUUUUUACCUGCUCCUGCGCUGCUAUUCUCUUUCAAUAACGUAUAUUUCUGUUGCCGCUUUUUUUCUUGUCAUCUUCCACCUGCCAACAUGGAGGUCCAUUUUUAGAGAAAUCUAAUCACAACCAGGGAGAAGGUGUCUCUACUGGAGGGAGCAGUGAUGACUACGCCUACCCUCCUCCUCCAGUCCAGGUUCACAGUCUGAGCUUUCCCAAUUCCCCAGUCUUUUACAAAAAGACUCAUAGCGCACACAGCACCCUCCAGUCCUGCCUCCCGUCGCUCCGCUCCACCAACCGCUGGCAUGGGACAGGGGUUUCAAACUCCAUCUCAUAACAUUCUCCAAGGAUCUCCUCCGAGUCAUCCAUCAACGACCCACCAACAAUCCCAACCGGCACGGAACAGGCAGGAGCAUCCAGAGCUCACCGCACAGCGCAGCAUGAAGGAACUCAGGUCCGCCGUCCAGACGGUGGCCGCCUGCGCCAAGCACGGAGCUCGAGACGUCCGCCAUCUUGGCCAAGAGAUGGUGGCUGCGGCAGAGAUGAUCACCGACGGCGUGGGAGAGAACGCCCAGGCGCUGAACCUGCUGGCCGAGGUGGUGGACAAGCUCCCUCAAACAAACACACAGAGGUGAGGCCUCCGCGAACGCCCAAACGGGGGACUCCUCCCCCACCUUCUCCAAGGGUCUCCUCGAUGUCUCCGAAAGACGUCCGCAAACUUCCCACGCCUUACCAAACGCACCUCCCGUCCUCGUCUUCUUCUUGCUCUUCUUCGUCUUUGUCUUCGGCGGUCAGUUCCAAACCGGAUGGCUUCGCAACAUCGAAGAGACGCCAACGAACGAACGGAGGCUCCAAAAGAACGGUGGUGACCUUUGGCGCGACCCACAGGGAAGGUCGGACUGGUAGUAAUGGACAGGGGCGACGAUAAGGAGGGACGAGGACACGGGGGAGAUCUACAUCGCCAGGGUGAUUCACGGAGGACUGGCUGACCGCAGCAGACUCCUCCAUCCUGGUGAUCUGUUAGUGGAAGUAAAUGGAAACCCUGUGGUGGGUCUGGAGCCAGAACAGAUCAUCCAGAUACUGAUAAAUUCCCAGGGAACGAUCCUGUUCAAAGUAUUCCUGAAAAAGCUCAAAGCAACAGCAGACAGAAAUCGGUGAGAAACAUCCAGCAAACAUGCUCAGAUGGUGGAGGAAAUACUUUUUCUAAAAGUACAAAUAGAUUAGUGUAAAAAUACCAUCUUUCAAGUUCUGCAUUCAAAAUCCUACGUGAGUAAGAGUACAUAAGUAUUAUCAGCUUUGCAGUGUGACAUGAUAUCCGAUUCUAUCUUACAUUAUGAGACAUUCAAUAAUUUCCCCUCUUUUGGCCUCACGGCUUUAUUUAAAUGAAAAUACCUGGGAGAAGUUUUCAGGGCGUCUCUUUGAUGGAACCGCUAACAUCUCAUGUACACCUGGAUUGAAAAGAUGGUGAAAAGUGAUGUUUGAACCUGGGAGAUUUCGGUUAACCUCCCUCUCUGUGUGUGUGUCAGGUAUAUAUGAGAGCACUGGUGGACUAUUUCCCCUUGCAGGACUCCUCCAUCCCCUGUCCCGAUGCAGGGAUGGCGUUCAGCCGAGGAGAGCUGCUGGAAGUGGUCGACCAGUCGGACGCACACUGGUGGCAGGCCAGGAAGCUCCCGUGCUCCACUUCCUGCGCUGGUCUGAUUCCCUCUGCCAGGAAUGCUGAAGAGGUGACGCCUCACGCACCCUGAAUGUGGACCCUAAUCUGGUUUCAUCAUCCCCCAACAAAUCUUUAAGGGUCACACUUUUAUUAGUAUACAAUACAGGCCGUAAGAUUUUUUUUAAUAUGCAUUCAGCCUUCAUGUAAUUAAUAUGAAAAUGAAAUCCUGAUUCAACUCCCUCCAUACAACAUACUGAACCGAUAUUCAAACUUUUAAACAAAUAAAACAAGUAAAAAAGGAUAAGGAUAAAAUAAAUUAGCAUUAGCAUCACAAGGCAAAGUGACUAAGGGUUAAAUAUUGAAAUGAAUGAAUCGAUGCAGCUUUAUCUAAUAUCAGGCAACUAAACUCUGUAUUCUCUCAUGAAACAAGUUGUUUGAUGCUGUAUCUGAAAUGUAUUGUGUAUCAUCCCUCUCUCAUCUCAUUUGAGCUUGUGUAGCAGUAGUAUCUGGGCUGGCUACGGUUUAUUCCCCUAUAACAUUAUUAAUAUUAGAAGAUAUGUUUAAAAGUUAUAGAGUAGUUUAUUAAGUUUUGCACAAAAGGGUAAUAUUAGCAUUAAUAGAUGCAUUCGCCACAUUGUUAAACAGGUGUUUAAACAUACGACACAGAAGAACUACCUUUGAAAGCACAGCGUGUACAUUGUGAACGUGACUUUAAAGCAACAAAGAAGCCUUUGACAACGUUUCGUUUCCGUCUGUCCUCAGUGACUUACAAUAAUAACGGUGAGUGAGAGCGAUGUUCGCUCAACGUCUCCGCUUUUCUUUCAUUAAAACAGUUGGUCCAAUAGUUUAGCAUCUGUUUGUGUGACUUAGGUUUGAUUUAGUAGGUUUGUGACUAUAUUAAAAAUGUGAGUAUUACAGUAAGUCACUGUCAUGAAUCAUGAGUCAAGGGGCCGUACUGUGCAGGUGUUACAGCGUGUUUAUAUUUCUUUAUCUGUCGAGGGGACACUAAUUUAUUAAAACUGACCUGAAUUGACCCCUGCUGUACUGUAAAGUUAAUAUGUGUGAGCUUGAUCAUUAUCAUUAGUAAACCUCAUACACAUACAAAUGUCUGUAC
This is a non-coding RNA of Gasterosteus aculeatus aculeatus (three-spined stickleback), 6105 nucleotides long. The record is from RefSeq and is a predicted model, not a curated record. Lineage: Eukaryota; Metazoa; Chordata; Actinopteri; Perciformes; Gasterosteidae.